AGAACGAACGCUGGCGGCAUGCCUAAUACAUGCAAGUCGAACGAACACUUCGGUGUUAGUGGCGCACGGGUGCGUAACGCGUGGGAAUCUGCCCUUGGGUUCGGAAUAACAGUUGGAAACGACUGCUAAUACCGGAUGAUAUCGAAAGAUCAAAGAUUUAUCGCCCAGGGAUGAGCCCGCGUAGGAUUAGCUAGUUGGUGAGGUAAAGGCUCACCAAGGCGACGAUCCUUAGCUGGUCUGAGAGGAUGAUCAGCCACACGUGGGACUGAGACACGGCCCAGACUCCGUACGGGAGCAGCAGGUAGGGAAUAGUUGGACAAGUGGGCGACAAGCCUGGAUCCAGUCAAUCGCCGCGUAGAGUGAUAGGAAGGUCCGUUAAGGGUUCGUAAAGUCC
Molecule: ribosomal RNA, 394 nt
Filed under: uncultured soil bacterium
Lineage: Bacteria
Description: bacterial SSU rRNA
Rfam family: Bacterial small subunit ribosomal RNA
Source: RNAcentral